AUGAUGACAAGUGAAGCUCAUAGCAUGUUAUUCAUUUUAUAACCAACUUUCAAGUUUUGCUAGAAUGUAGUGUUAUAAGAAAUUUAUCAUUAGACCAAUCAACUAUACAAGCUUCCCUCUAUAGCAAUAGAACAUCAAAUCACAGAUUUGAGGCUUGCUUUAAUAAUGUUUUGUCAAUGAGAUCGACGGAAAGAUUACUUUACAAUUACAUUGCCAUCUCUAUGUGAUUGUAUUUACCAAUUUAGAAUGAUUAAAUACCAUAAUUGUACAUUACCAUAUUAGGUUAAUUACAUACCAUAGACGUACAGAUUUUAAUUCAAUCCCAAAAAUAGCUAAAACUUUUACAUUGUAUCAGAGCCAUACCUAUAGAAGCAGACGCUGAAUCUUCAAUUCUCGGUGUCGACAACUCUAUUCCGGCGUUUUUCUUGCAAGUUUCGAGGUCAAUCAAUCUCUGGUCGAUGUCACCGUCGUUUGCGUAACUCUAUCUCGGUGGUCAAAAUUCUGCAUCAGAAUUUUCGAAUUCUAUAGGUUUUCGACACAAUUUCCAGCAUUUCUCGAGGUGUAUGAACGCGGUUUCCAACAUCUCUUGAGCAAUAGGAGCGAUAUUCAGGUGGUCCUCUAAUUGUAAUCGACACUAUUCCGGAGUCACUGUGGGUGCUCGACGAUUUCGGCGUCACUCUGGGCUCGUGUUUUUGUGGGUAUUACCAUGACUGAUUUUGGUGAACCAUUGUUGGAUUG
This 738-nucleotide long non-coding RNA is filed under the name Olea europaea subsp. europaea. The record is from RNAcentral. Lineage: Eukaryota; Viridiplantae; Streptophyta; Magnoliopsida; Lamiales; Oleaceae.